Molecule: ribosomal RNA, 2100 nt
Filed under: marine metagenome
Description: bacterial LSU rRNA
Rfam family: Bacterial large subunit ribosomal RNA
Source: RNAcentral
CCAAGCUACAAAGGGCGCACGGUGGAUACCUAGGCGAUGAGAGGCGACGAAGGACGUGGACAGCUGCGAAAAGCUCUGGGGAAUUGCUAACAAAUUGUGAUCCAGAGAUAUCCGAAUGGGACAACCCGCGCAGGGACUACCUGCCAGCUGGUGGUCAAUACAUAGCCAUCAUGCAGCAAACCCGGGGAACUGAAACAUCUAAGUACCCGGAGGAGUAUAAAUCAAUAGAGAUUCCCCUAGUAGUGGCGAGCGAACGGGGACCAGCCUAAACCGAUAUGGUGUAAGCGUACUGGCGUUGUCAUAUCGGGGUUGUGGGAUUUCUCAUAGAGUCCAGUAUGACUCUGAGUGAGUUACAAAGGUGAUUGUUAGCCGAAGAUUCUGGAAAGUUUUGCCAAAGACGGUGACAGCCCGGUAGGCGAAGGCAAUCACUCUCACGAGAAACACCCGAGUACCGCAGGACACGAGAAAUCCGGCGGGAAUCUGGGACGACCAUGUUCCAAGGCUAAAUACUACUCAUCGACCGAUAGUGAACUAGUACCGUGAGGGAAAGGUGAAAAGCACCCCGGCGAGGGGAGUGAAAUAGUACUUGAAACCGUGUGCCUACAAGCAGUGGGAGCACUAUGGCUCAUCUUUGGAUGAGCAAUGUGUGACCACGUACCUUUUGCAUCAUGAGCCUGUGAGUUACUUUAUGUGGCGAGGUUAAGCCGUUAGGUGUAACCGUAGCGAAAGCGAGUCUUAACAGGGCGUUCAGUCACAUGACGUAGACCCGAAACCCGUGCGAUCUACCCAUGUCCAGGUUGAAGGGUGAGUAACAUCACCUGGAGGACCGAACCCACUGGAGUUGAAAAUCCAGGGGAUGAGGUGUGGGUAGGAGUGAAAGGCUAAUCAAGCCGGGAGAUAGCUGGUUCUCGCCGAAAUGUAUUGAGGUACAGCCUCGAGUGAAUUGCGUCGGAGGUAGAGCACUGAUUGGGCUAGGGGUCCCACCAGAUUACCAAACCCAGUCAAACUCCGAAUGCCGAUGACAACUGCUCGGGAGUGAGGCAGCGGGAGAUAAGUUCCGUUGCCGAGAGGGAAAGAGCCCAGACCGUCGGCUAAGGUCCCUAAAUCUAGACUAAGUGGGAAAGGAUGUGGAAACGCACAGACAACCAGGAGGUUGGCUUAGAAGCAGCCACCCUUUAAAGAAAGCGUAAUAGCUCACUGGUCAAGCGAGUCUGCGCCGAAAAUGUAACGGGGCUAAGUCUAGUACCGAAGCUGCGGGUUCUCGUAAGAGAGCGGUAGGCGAGCGUUCCCAUGGAGAUACUAGGUAGACCGUAAGGACUGCUAAUGGCCAUGGGAAGUGAAUAUGCAGGCAUGAGUAGCGAUAAACCGGGUGAGAAACCCGGUCGCCGUAAGCCCAAGGUUUCCUGGGGAAGGAUAAUCCUCCCACGGGUUAGUCGAUACCUAAGCCGAGGCCGAGAGGCGUAGGCGAUGGAAAGCAGGUUAAUAUUCCUGCACCACUAGGGAUAGUGUAGACGCGAGCGGGGACGGAGAAGGGUAGCCCAGCACGGCGGAUGGUCGUCCGUGUUCAAGCCUGUAGGCUGAGUCGUUAGGACCCGAUAGGGACAAACGGCGACUUAAGGCCGAGAGGUGAUGAGGUCAUGUCUAAGACGUGGAUACUGGGUAAUCCCAUGCUUCCGAGAAAAGCCGCGCGCAGAGCUUCUCUAGUGAUCGUACUCCAAACCGACUCAGGUGGGCGGGGUGAGUAUCCCAAGGCGCGUGAGAGAACUCUGGUUAAGGAACUCGGCAAAUUGGCACCGUAACUUCGGGAGAAGGUGUGCCGUCGGCUGUGACGAGCUUGCGCUCUGAGCGGCUGAUGGUCGCAGUGACCAAGUGGUUGUGACUGUUUACUAAAAACACAGGACUCUGCGAACUCGUAAGAGGACGUAUAGGGUUUGAUGCCUGCCCGGUGCUGGAAGGUUAAGGGGAGUUGUUAGGAGCAAUCCGAAGCAGCGAACCGAAGCCCCAGUAAACGGCGGCCGUAACUAUAACGGUCCUAAGGUAGCGAAAUUCCUUGUCGGGUAAGUUCCGACCUGCACGAAUGGCGUAACGACUUUCCCACUG